UACAGAGGGUGCGAGCGUUAAUCGGAAUUACUGGGCGUAAAGCGCAAGUAGGUGGCGACGUAAGUCGGGUGUGAAAGCCCCGGGCUCAACCUGGGAAUUGCAUUCGAGACUGCAUUGCUGGAGUACGGAAGAGGAGGGCGGAAUUCCCGGUGUAGCGGUGAAAUGCGUAGAUAUCGGGAGGAACAUCAGGGGCGAAGGCGGCCCUCUGGUCCAGUACUGACACUCAAGUGCGAAAGCGUGGGGAGCAAAUAGG
Molecule: ribosomal RNA, 253 nt
Filed under: uncultured bacterium
Lineage: Bacteria
Description: partial 16S ribosomal RNA
Rfam family: Bacterial small subunit ribosomal RNA
Source: RNAcentral